GCAGAGGGGAAGGAGGACAGAGCAUCAGACAGCAUCAGGAACCAGGGCCAAAAGACCUAAAGAUGCGGUGGCUGCUUGCCCGUAGUAAGAAGUUCUUCCAAGGAACCCCACUUGCUGCUGCAGAGAGGAGUGAUCAUGGAAGGAGUGUGAACUGGUGAAGUCUGAACUGAAGGAAACUGCUGGCUUUGAAGCCCACAAGUGCACAAGUUCCCUCACCUACACUAAACUACAGUUGGGACUAAUCAGUGGAUGAUGUUCUUUCCUCUGGGAUUUUCAUGUUUCUUUGCAGGCAGCACUCACUUGAACUAAUGAAAGCAGAUGUUCCCAAACCUAAAUCUAUA
Molecule: non-coding RNA, 341 nt
Organism: Agelaius phoeniceus (red-winged blackbird)
Lineage: Eukaryota; Metazoa; Chordata; Aves; Passeriformes; Icteridae
Source: RefSeq, a predicted model, not a curated record